This 519-nucleotide ribosomal RNA is filed under the name uncultured bacterium. RNAcentral describes it as "bacterial SSU rRNA". It matches the Rfam family "Bacterial small subunit ribosomal RNA", at positions 777 to 1297 of the family's 1533-position model. The record is from RNAcentral.
AAUAGAUACCCCGGUAGUCCACGCCGUAAACGAUGUCGACUUGGAGGUUGUUCCCUUGAGGAGUGGCUUCCGGAGCUAACGCGUUAAGUCGACCGCCUGGGGAGUACGGCCGCAAGGUUAAAACUCAAAUGAAUUGACGGGGCCCGCACAAGCGGUGGAGCAUGUGGUUUAAUUCGAUGCAACGCGAAGAACCUUACCUGGUCUUGACAUCCACAGAAUUCUGCAGAGAUGCGGAAGUGCCUUCGGGAACUGUGAGACAGGUGCUGCAUGGCUGUCGUCAGCUCGUGUUGUGAAAUGUUGGGUUAAGUCCCGCAACGAGCGCAACCCUUAUCCUUUGUUGCCAGCGGUUAGGCCGGGAACUCAAAGGAGACUGCCAGUGAUAAACUGGAGGAAGGUGGGGAUGACGUCAAGUCAUCAUGGCCCUUACGACCAGGGCUACACACGUGCUACAAUGGCAUAUACAAAGAGAAGCGACCUCGCGAGAGCAAGCGGACCUCAUAAAGUAUGUCGUAGUCCGGA